CCAUGUUUAGAGCAAGAGGUAAAGCCAUCUGAGGUACUUUGCAACCUGACUGGGUGUUUCUCCUGCUUGCCUACAGCCCCUGCUCUUGGCUGCAACACCGUUCUGCUGCCCUGUGUAAUUUCAGGUCAGUGAAGAUUUCUACACCAAACUCCAGCUAGACCAUCUAGAGGAUGUGCUUGGGGAAACGCCACAUUCAGAAGGAUUUUGUGCUCCUGCCUUCACAAGAGCCAUCAGAACCAGCUGCACUUCGGAGAAUGAGCCAGAGUCACCCUGGGCUUGGAAAGGAGCUGCGGGACGCUGAGUGCCAGCUCAGGGGGAUGUACAGGAGCGCUGCCUCCGGGGCAGGAGCAAGCUGCAGAGUGACCUGUGAGUGGGCUUGUCCCCAGUCUCUGUGGACACUGACAAACAGAAAGACAGAGGCAAUGGUGGCAACAGGUAAUGUUAAAAUGUUUGCUGUGAAUGUUGAGGCUUAAUGCUAAACAGCAACAUUUCAGAAUCCCUCAGCACAGCAAGACCCCAGGCAUAGAUGACAAGCUCUCUGCGAAUGAGGAGCACCCGGAGUAGCACUGUCAGAGGUGGUUAAUGGAAUUGGGUGUUGAUCCCUGUUUACCUGCUGGUGGUGGCUCUGGAAGGAGGGCUUCUUCCUUUGCUGGUGGGGUCUAAAGCCUUUAGCGAUGCACAAGCGCUCCACGUGAGCCCUGUGCACUGCCCCAACACCUCGGUGUUGGUGCUGCCAGCCCUUCUGGGAGCCCCCAGCCAUGGGCCAUCCCCUUUGUGCGUGGCUGCCUGCCAAGCCCCAGCUCACCAGGACCCAUGCCAGCCCAGGUCAGAGUUGGGCAUCCACCUUGGAUCACAUGUCUGGAACCUUCUCUUAGCAUUCCUGAGGGCCUGUUCACAAAAGCUUUGUCCGCCUGCUUCCUUGCAGUAGCCCGUGAGCAGGGCCAACCCACCCAUGUUCCCUGGGAGGUUAUUCCCGGCUGAACAAGCUUUGCUCCAUGGAACUGAUCUGCUGAAGUGCACUUGCCUUCCUCGCCAUCAUUCCACUAGGCAGGCUGCAGAGAUAACGUCCGUCUUUGUUCUGAUGUGAGACCCUUGCGUAGGUACACAAUCUUCCCCGUAGUGUAUGCUUAAAAUAGAUAAAAUGCCUUUUCUGAAUUGCAAUUUAGAUUGAUUUUGAUAGAGAGGAUGGCGGAAUCAUACACAGAAGAAAAAAAAAAAAUCUUUUAAAAUGAGAACGGAAUCAAAUAUAGUUUAGUAGUAUACUCGUUACAGAAUGAACAGCAUAUUGUAUGUGCUGUGUUAGAGGUAUGUUAUGAAUAACAAAAGCACUGGAGCAUUUACAUAUUUGUUUUCAGAAAUCCUGGCAGUUGGAUUUCACCAUUCUGCGCCUCUUUGCCAGAAUCACUAAACAGUGGUACAUAUGGCUUCUGAAGUACCAUAUGCCGUGGAAAACGUUAGCUGAUGCCUAUACUG
This 1473-nucleotide long non-coding RNA is filed under the name Cyanistes caeruleus (blue tit). RNAcentral's name for it is "lncRNA (ENSCCEG00000008145.1)". The record is from RNAcentral. Lineage: Eukaryota; Metazoa; Chordata; Aves; Passeriformes; Paridae.